This 682-nucleotide ribosomal RNA is filed under the name uncultured archaeon. RNAcentral's name for it is "bacterial SSU rRNA". It matches the Rfam family "Archaeal small subunit ribosomal RNA", at positions 647 to 1325 of the family's 1478-position model. The record is from RNAcentral.
CCCGGGAGGACCACCUGUGGCGAAGGCGCCCGGCUGGAACGGGUCCGACGGUGAGGGACGAAGGCCAGGGGAGCGAACCGGAUUAGAUACCCGGGUAGUCCUGGCUGUAAACGAUGCGGGCUAGGUGUCACCAGAGCCACGAGCUCCGGUGGUGCCUGAGGGAAGCCGUUAAGCCCGCCGCCUGGGAAGUACGGCCGCAAGGCUGAAACUUAAAGGAAUUGGCGGGGGAGCACUACAACGGGUGGAGCCUGCGGUUCAAUUGGAUUCAACGCCGGGAAGCUUACCGGGGGAGACAGCUGGAUGAAGGUCGGGCUGAAGACCCUACCAGACUAGCUGAGAGGUGGUGCAUGGCCGCCGUCAGUUCGUACUGUGAAGCAUCCUGUUAAGUCAGGCAACGAGCGAGACCCGCGCCCUCAGUUGCCAGCGGAUCCCUUCGGGGAUGCCGGGCACACUGAGGGGACUGUCGGCGCUAAGCCGGAGGAAGGUGCGGGCAACGGCAGGUCCGUAUGCCCCGAAUCCCCCGGGCUACACGCGGGCUACAAUGGCCGGGACAAUGGGUACCGACCCCGAAAGGGGUAGGUAAUCCCCUAAACCCGGUCUAACCUGGGAUCGAGGGCUGCAACUCGCCCUCGUGAACCUGGAAUCCGUAGUAAUNNNCGCCUCAAAAUGGCGCGGUGAAUAC